GAUGAACGCUGGCGGCGUGCCUAAUACAUGCAAGUCGAGCGAACAGAUGAGGAGCUUGCUCCUCUGACGUUAGCGGCGGACGGGUGAGUAACACGUGGAUAACCUACCUAUAAGACUGGGAUAACUUCGGGAAACCGGAGCUAAUACCGGAUAAUAUAUUGAACCGCAUGGUUCAAUAGUGAAAGACGGUUUUGCUGUCACUUAUAGAUGGAUCCGCGCCACAUUAGCUAGUUGGUAAGGUAACGGCUUACCAAGGCAACGAUGCGUAGCCGACCUGAGAGGGUGAUCGGCCACCCUGGAACUGAGACACGGUCCAGCCUCCUACGGGAGGCAGCAGUAGGGAAUCUUCCGCAAUGGGCGAAAGCCUGACGGAGCAACGCCGCGUGAGUGAUGAAGGUCUUCGGAUCGUAAAACUCUGUUAUUAGGGAAGAACAAAUGUGUAAGUAACUAUGCACGUCUUGACGGUACCUAAUCAGAAAGCCACGGCUAACUACGUG
This 497-nucleotide ribosomal RNA is filed under the name uncultured bacterium. Its description in RNAcentral is "partial 16S ribosomal RNA". It matches the Rfam family "Bacterial small subunit ribosomal RNA", at positions 28 to 507 of the family's 1533-position model. The record is from RNAcentral.